This 344-nucleotide ribosomal RNA is filed under the name uncultured Acholeplasma sp. RNAcentral's name for it is "bacterial SSU rRNA". It matches the Rfam family "Bacterial small subunit ribosomal RNA", at positions 1036 to 1382 of the family's 1533-position model. The record is from RNAcentral. Lineage: Bacteria; Bacillati; Mycoplasmatota; Mollicutes; Acholeplasmatales; Acholeplasmataceae.
AGGUGGUGCAUGGUUGUCGUCAGCUCGUGUCGUGAGAUGUUGGGUUAAGUCCCGCAACGAGCGCAACCCUAUUGCUAGUUACCAUCAUUAAGUUGGGGACUCUAGCGAGACUGCCAGUGAUAAACUGGAGGAAGGUGGGGAUGACGUCAAAUCAUCAUGCCCCUUAUGACCUGGGCUACAAACGUGAUACAAUGGCUGGAACAAAGGGAUGCGAAGCAGUGAUGUGGAGCGAAACCCAUAAAAACAGUCUCAGUUCGGAUUGAAGUCUGCAACUCGACUUCAUGAAGUCGGAAUCGCUAGUAAUCGCGGAUCAGAACGCCGCGGUGAAUACGUUCUCGGGCCUU